GACGAACGCUGGCGGCGUGCCUAAUACAUGCAAGUAGAACGCUGAAGGAGGAGCUUGCUUCUCUGGAUGAGUUGCGAACGGGUGAGUAACGCGUAGGUAACCUGCCUGGUAGCGGGGGAUAACUAUUGGAAACGAUAGCUAAUACCGCAUAAGAGUAGAUGUUGCAUGACAUUUGCUUAAAAGGUGCAAUUGCAUCACUACCAGAUGGACCUGCGUUGUAUUAGCUAGUUGGUGAGGUAACGGCUCACCAAGGCAACGAUACAUAGCCGACCUGAGAGGGUGAUCGGCCACACUGGGACUGAGACACGGCCCAGACUCCUACGGGAGGCAGCAGUAGGGAAUCUUCGGCAAUGGACGGAAGUCUGACCGAGCAACGCCGCGUGAGUGAAGAAGGUUUUCGGAUCGUAAAGCUCUGUUGUAAGAGAAGAACGAGUGUGAGAGUGGAAAGUUCACACUGUGACGGUAUCUACCAGAAAAGGAC
Molecule: ribosomal RNA, 481 nt
Filed under: Streptococcus mitis
Lineage: Bacteria; Bacillati; Bacillota; Bacilli; Lactobacillales; Streptococcaceae
Description: bacterial SSU rRNA
Rfam family: Bacterial small subunit ribosomal RNA
Source: RNAcentral